CCCGGUGACUCUAACGGCGGGGCUACACCCGUUCCCGUUCCGAACACGGAUGUUAAGCCCGUUCGUGCCGAUGGUACUGGGGACAUGUAAUCAAUUUCUCUUGAAAUUGGUACGUGUCCCCGAUU
This 125-nucleotide ribosomal RNA is filed under the name Candidatus Aminicenantes bacterium RBG_19FT_COMBO_59_29. Lineage: Bacteria; Candidatus Aminicenantota. The record is from RNAcentral.